UACGGAGGGGGCUAGCGUUGUUCGGAAUUACUGGGCGUAAAGCGCACGUAGGCGGUUUUGUAAGUUAGAGGUGAAAGCCCGGGGCUCAACUCCGGAAUUGCCUUUAAGACUGCAUCGCUAGAAUUGUGGAGAGGUAAGUGGAAUUCCGAGUGUAGAGGUGAAAUUCGUAGAUAUUCGGAAGAACACCAGUGGCGAAGGCGACUUACUGGACACAUAUUGACGCUGAGGUGCGAAAGCGUGGGGAGCAAACAGG
This 253-nucleotide ribosomal RNA is filed under the name uncultured bacterium. RNAcentral describes it as "partial 16S ribosomal RNA". It matches the Rfam family "Bacterial small subunit ribosomal RNA", at positions 524 to 776 of the family's 1533-position model. The record is from RNAcentral.